CGAGUGGAUUGGCUGCUCCGGCUUACCGGAAGUGCCGCUCAAGCCCGUGCUCUACUGCGCUUGCGCAGUCGUCCCCUGUAAUAUGCGCGUCUCCGGUUACUUCUUUGCUGGCGUCUUAGUCCAUUUGUUUGGCUCUUUGUGCUGCGCAAUGUCGUCGUGUUGGUGGCGGUCUUCAGUAACCGGGACCUUGGAGGCUGGGAGGGAUAGCUGAUGUGCAGGGCCAGCACUGGGGGCGAGCUCAGGGCGGGCAGGGAUGUGCUCGAGGAGUGAGGCCCGCAACCCUGCAGAGGGCGCCCGGUCCUGUUGACUCACUCCUUGCUGGGGUGAGACAGUUGUUAGGGUUAAGUUUGCAUUUCAGAACGUUCUGGUAAGGGCUUUGUAGCAGGGUGAGAGUGAAGACCUGUGCAAGAGAAGAAGCCAUAAGGGUUCAAGAUGCCAGGCGAAGCCACUUACCAACCUUUGCUCGUCCCACGCCUGGGAGAACUCGAGUGGUUUCCUCUAACUGCACAGGUUACCUCUUAGCACCCUGGUGCAACUCCUAUUCAUGUUUCCCCAUACCAGACUUCUCAGCUCUAGGUCACCUCCCUUUCAUUUCCUGCAGGCACUUCACAUAAAUUUUCUGUUUCCACACCAUUUCUGACCUUUAAGAAUUUCUCAUUUCUGUUUUCUUUCCCACGCGGUAGCACAGGCCACCGCUAAGCACAGUCAUAGGGAGAUACCUGUUGAAAUGUGCGCCAGCCCCUCAGGCUAUGACACCCUCGAGGACAUGGUCAGUGCUCCAAAAUCACAGCGCUCAGCAUACAGCCUGACUCCAUCCAAGGGAAGUUAGGCAACCCGCUUCCUUGUCCCCCCCCCACCCCUAGUCAGAGCCCGUCCUUCUAGUUUCUCCGUAUCUCAUGUAUUCAAUCUUUUCUCUCCAUCCAAAUUCUCAUCCUCUCUCCAAGGACCACUGUGAGCCAUUUCUACUCUGUCCAGUUCAACAGCUGUCUCACCUGGAAAGCCACUUUUCCUGUUCACCUGCCUCUGGAGGCCCACCUUUCCCAAGCCCUACAUCACAGCCUCUGAGAUUUGGUUAUUCCUUCCGGGAAACUCGCCUCUCUGACCUCUCUCCUCAGCUAGAGACCACCUGCCUCCUUUCUCCACAAGGAUGUUUCAAAGGCUGCUAAAACUUGACAUUUCCUAAAAUAAAUACUUGGUUUCUGCUUUAAACCAGUCCACUUACUCUCUGUGCUUCAUCCAAAUGGUAAAGCUGAAGGCCUGAGCAUCAUUCUAGACUUCACUGGUCUCCAAAUCCCCAUAUCCAAUCAUUAAACUAUUCUUAUCCAUUCAGCCUCCUAAACAGCUCUGUGACUCACCCUUUGCUAUCCUCUCACACACAUGAAGGGGGUCCUAGCUAGUCAAAAGGCUGAGAUGAGAGGAUCCCUUGAGCCCAUCAGAUUGGGCUUCAGUGAGCUCUAAUUGUGCUACUGUACUCCAGCUUGGGUAACAGAGUGAGACACUGUCUCAAAAAAAAAAAAAAAAAAAAAAAAUCUGAAAUCCAAAA
RNAcentral lists this long non-coding RNA (1543 nucleotides) under Saimiri boliviensis boliviensis (Bolivian squirrel monkey). RNAcentral describes it as "lncRNA (ENSSBOG00000036548.1)". Lineage: Eukaryota; Metazoa; Chordata; Mammalia; Primates; Cebidae. The record is from RNAcentral.